Pogonomyrmex barbatus (red harvester ant) is the source of this 614-nucleotide long non-coding RNA. Lineage: Eukaryota; Metazoa; Arthropoda; Insecta; Hymenoptera; Formicidae. The record is from RefSeq and is a predicted model, not a curated record.
AAGAAACGUUUGUAAAGAAUUAUACAGACAGAAGCCGAGGAAUAUUUCAAAUAUAUGAAUAAUAAAAAUGGAAAUAGAGAAAAAUUAAAUAUGACAUCCUCAGGAUUAGAUGAUCUACUAAAACUCUAUGUAGAUCUGGCUAAAAUCUAUCAAGAGUGCAAUUUUACUUAUAAUCUAAAGUUUAAUGAUUUAUCUAUCUUAACUAAAAGAAACAAGAUACUGUCUAUAAUCAAGAUAAAUUCUGUACUCAUUAUUCAGGGAACAACCAGCUGUGAAAAAAUGACUUAAAUCCAUUCCACGAUUCUUAAUACUUAUAUGAAGAAGAGGCUUAACUGUAAUGUUAUAGUUCGCAAUCAAGACAAAUUGCUGCGAUAAGUGUUGCCAAAAGAGUCAGCCAAGAAGGAAAUUGGGAUCUUGGUAGCCUUGUAGCCUUGGUAGCCUCAAGCUAUAUAGUACCUUAGUGAAAAGAAAAACUUCACUUGAAAUUCGUUUAACUGCAUCACCGAAAUUCUACUCCAACAUAUAAUUGAGCAUUAACAUAUGUUGAAUUAUACGCACAUUAUAUUAGAAUGAAAUUCAUGAACUAGACCAAAAUUUUGAUUUUCUAUUAUUUG